GAUGAAGAACGUAGCGAAAUGCGAUACGUAAUGUGAAUUGCAGAAUUCAGUGAAUCAUCGAGUCUUUGAACGCACAUUGCGCCCCCUGGUAUUCCGGGGGGCAUGCCUGUCCGAGCGUCAUUACAACCCUCAAGCUCAGCUUGGUGUUGGGCCCCGCCGCCCCGGCGGGCCCUAAAGUCAGUGGCGGUGCCGUCCGGCUCCGAGCGUAGUAAUUCUUCUCGCUCUGGAGGUCCGGUCGUGUGCUUGCCAGCAACCCCCAAUUUUUUUCAGGUUGACCUCGGAUCAGGUAGGGAUACCCGCUGAACUUAAGCAUAUCAAUAAGCGGAGGA
This 329-nucleotide unclassified non-coding RNA is filed under the name soil metagenome. RNAcentral's name for it is "partial contains 5.8S ribosomal RNA, internal transcribed spacer 2, and large subunit ribosomal RNA". The stretch from base 1 to 120 matches the Rfam family "5.8S ribosomal RNA", at positions 35 to 154 of the family's 154-position model. The record is from RNAcentral.